ACUCCUACGGGAGGCAGCAGUGGGAAUAUUGCACAAUGGGCGCAAGCCUGAUGCAGCAACGCCGCGUGAGGGAUGAAGGCCUUCGGGUUGUAAACCUCUUUUAGCAGGGAAGAAGCGAAAGUGACGGUACCUGCAGAAAAGCACCGGCUAACUACGUGCCAGCAGCCGCGGUAAUACGUAGGGUGCAAGCGUUGUCCGGAAUUAUUGGGCGUAAAGAGCUCGUAGGCGGUUUGUCACGUCUGCUGUGAAAAUCCAAGGCUCAACCUUGGACUUUGCAGUGGGUACGGGCAGGCUAGAGUGCGGUAGGGGAGAUGGGAAUUCCUGGUGUAGCGGUGGAAUGCGCAGAUAUCAGGAGGAACACCAGUGGCGAAGGCGGCUACCUGGACUAAUACUGACACUGAGGCACGAAAGCGUGGGGAGCAAACAGGAUUAGAUACCCUGGUAGGUC
RNAcentral lists this ribosomal RNA (448 nucleotides) under uncultured bacterium. RNAcentral describes it as "bacterial SSU rRNA". It matches the Rfam family "Bacterial small subunit ribosomal RNA", at positions 335 to 795 of the family's 1533-position model. The record is from RNAcentral.